AGUGGCGAACGGGUGAGUAAUGCAUCGGAACGUGCCCAGUCGUGGGGGAUAACGCAGCGAAAGCUGUGCUAAUACCGCAUACGAUCUAUGGAUGAAAGCGGGGGACCGUAAGGCCUCGCGCGAUUGGAGCGGCCGAUGUCAGAUUAGGUAGUUGGUGGGGUAAAGGCUCACCAAGCCGACGAUCUGUAGCUGGUCUGAGAGGACGACCAGCCACACUGGGUCUGAGACACGGCCCAGACUCCUACGGGAGGCAGCAGUGGGGAAUUUUGGACAAUGGGCGCAAGCCUGAUCCAGCAAUGCCGCGUGCAGGAAGAAGGCCUUCGGGUUGUAAACUGCUUUUGUACGGAACGAAACGGUCUGGGUUAAUACCCUGGGAUAAUGACGGUACCGUAAGAAUAAGCACCGGCUAACUACGUGCCAGCAGCCGCGGUAAUACGUAGGGUGCAAGCGUUAAUCGGAAUUACUGGGCGUAAAGCGUGCGCAGGCGGUUUUGUAAGACAGGCGUGAAAUCCCCGGGCUCAACCUGGGAAUUGCGCUUGUGACAGCAAAGCUGGAGUGCGGCAGAGGGGGAUGGAAUUCCGCGUGUAGCAGUGAAAUGCGUAGAUAUGCGGAGGAACACCGAUGGCGAAGGCAAUCCCCUGGGCCUGUACUGACGCUCAUGCACGAAAGCGUGGGGAGCAAACAGGAUUAGAUACCCUGG
Molecule: ribosomal RNA, 700 nt
Filed under: uncultured bacterium
Lineage: Bacteria
Description: bacterial SSU rRNA
Rfam family: Bacterial small subunit ribosomal RNA
Source: RNAcentral